This 335-nucleotide unclassified non-coding RNA is filed under the name soil metagenome. Its description in RNAcentral is "partial contains 5.8S ribosomal RNA, internal transcribed spacer 2, and large subunit ribosomal RNA". The stretch from base 1 to 120 matches the Rfam family "5.8S ribosomal RNA", at positions 35 to 154 of the family's 154-position model. The record is from RNAcentral.
GAUGAAGAACGCAGCGAAAUGCGAUAAGUAAUGCGAAUUGCAGAAUUCAGUGAGUCAUCGAAUCUUUGAACGCACAUUGCGCCCGCCAGUAUUCUGGCGGGCAUGCCUGUUCGAGCGUCAUUUCAACCAUCAAGCCCCCGGCUUGUGUUGGGGACCUGCGGCUGCCGCAGGCCCUGAAAACCAGUGGCGGGCUCGCUAGUCACUCCGAGCGUAGUAAUACAUCUCGCUCAGGGCGUGCUGCGGGUUCCGGCCGUUAAAAAGCCUUAUUUACCCAAGGUUGACCUCGGAUCAGGUAGGAAGACCCGCUGAACUUAAGCAUAUCAAUAAGCGGAGGA